GAUGAACGCUGGCGGCGUGCCUAAUACAUGCAAGUCGAGCGAACAGACGAGGAGCUUGCUCCUCUGACGUUAGCGGCGGACGGGUGAGUAACACGUGGAUAACCUACCUAUAAGACUGGGAUAACUUCGGGAAACCGGAGCUAAUACCGGAUAAUAUAUUGAAUCGCAUGGUUCAAUAGUGAAAGACGGUUUUGCUGUCACUUAUAGAUGGAUCCGCGCCGCAUUAGCUAGUUGGUAAGGUAACGGCUUACCAAGGCAACGAUGCGUAGCCGACCUGAGAGGGUGAUCGGCCACACUGGAACUGAGACACGGUCCAGACUCCUACGGGAGGCAGCAGUAGGGAAUCUUCCGCAAUGGGCGAAAGCUUGACGGAGCAACGCCGCGUGAGUGAUGAAGGUCUUCGGAUCGUAAAACUCUGUUAUUAGGGAAGAACAAAUGUGUAAGUAACUAUGCACGUCUUGACGGUACCUAAUCAGAAAGCCACGGCUAACUACGUG
Molecule: ribosomal RNA, 497 nt
Filed under: uncultured bacterium
Lineage: Bacteria
Description: partial 16S ribosomal RNA
Rfam family: Bacterial small subunit ribosomal RNA
Source: RNAcentral